AUGCCGAAUGGCAGGCUCUCCAUUGGCCUAGCCGGGCUGGCCACCGACGUCCAGACAGUUGCACAGCGCCUCAAGUUCCGACUGAACCUGUACGAGUUGAAGGAAGGCCGGCAGAUCAAGCCUUACACACUCAUGAGCAUGGUGGCAAACUUUCUGUAUGAGAAACGGUUUGGUCCCUACUACACAGAGCCAGUCAUCGUGGCCUUGGACCCCAAGACCUAUAAGCCCUUGAUCUGCUCUCUCGACCUCAUCGGCUGCCCUAUGGUAAUGGAUGACUUUGUCGUCAGUGGCACCUGCGCCGAACAGAUGUACGGGAUGUGCGAGUCCCUCUGGGAGCCCAACACGGACCCGGAGCACCUGUUUGAGACCAUCUCCCAAGCCAUGCUCAACGCCGUGGACCGAGAUGCUGUGUCAGGCACGGGGGUCAUUGUCACAUCAUCGAGAAGGACAAAAUCAUCACCCGGACCCUAAAGGCCCAAAUGGACUGACCCUGCCCCCAGUGCCCACUUGGUUGUUUUUUUUUUUU
Molecule: RNA transcript, 526 nt
Organism: Ochotona princeps (American pika)
Lineage: Eukaryota; Metazoa; Chordata; Mammalia; Lagomorpha; Ochotonidae
Gene name: proteasome subunit beta type-3-like
Exons: 1
Source: RefSeq, a predicted model, not a curated record